CUCAAAGGGGAGUAGCUCCGGGGCUUUGCCCUUAGCACAAUCGUCAUUCCGGGACCGCAGUCCCCGGUUGUGCUGACCACCGGCGCGCAUACCGCGCCAGUGGUCGAGCAAGACCU
Molecule: unclassified non-coding RNA, 116 nt
Filed under: Cupriavidus neocaledonicus
Lineage: Bacteria; Pseudomonadati; Pseudomonadota; Betaproteobacteria; Burkholderiales; Burkholderiaceae
Description: yybP-ykoY
Source: RNAcentral